Paramuricea clavata is the source of this 715-nucleotide non-coding RNA. NCBI's taxonomy places the organism in Eukaryota, Metazoa, Cnidaria, Anthozoa, Malacalcyonacea, Plexauridae. The record is from the annotation of a GenBank genome assembly.
UCGGCAAAGUGAACCAUGCGUCGCAAGUUCCCUCGAACUCAUAAAGCCUGCGGCACACGAGAGCAACUUGCUGAGCAAACCGCCUCGGUGGCAGCUAGCUCAGCACGUUUCUCUCGUUUGAGGAUAGUUUUCGUGAGGAUUUGACCUCUCGAGGCCUUGAGGAAAAUAUCUAUCGUGUUUGAUAUUUUUCACCUGGCGAGGAAAAAAUCUCAGCGUCUGCGGAUGUUGUGAGCUUAGUGCUGAACUGCUAGAAUCAAUUAGCCAAUGAGAACCCAUAGUUUCUUCAUGUGACUUGGAACAAAAUGGAGGGAAAUGCAAAUGAUUUUGUCAGUUAAGUCGCCGUUGAGUAGUUUUCCCAACGUGUGCGGGGAAAUUACAUAGCUGAGCUAGCUGUCACUUGAGGCGGUUAGCUCAGCAAGUUUCUCUCGUGUGGGCAGGCUUAAUUCAAGAUAACAUAACUGUACGUCAAAACUUGCGUUGCAAAUUGUAGCCAAAAUUGGGUACUUCCUCGGGCAGAAGAAUUUGCAUCACAGAUUAUGUCAUCAGUUAGUUAUAGUGAUUAGCGUUGGGGUUAGGGUUAGAUUAAGGAUUAGAGAUAGGGUUAUAUCUGACGCCACAAACAACACAACUAGCCGAUCACGUGAUCCGUUCUCCUCUAUCCGAGGAACUAGCCCAAAAAUUGGUCUUAAACAUCAUCUUCAACACAUCCGAUAAC